This 75-nucleotide transfer RNA is filed under the name Candidatus Saccharimonadota bacterium. Its description in RNAcentral is "tRNA-Gly". It matches the Rfam family "tRNA". From Rfam's summary of the family: Transfer RNA (tRNA) molecules are approximately 80 nucleotides in length. Their secondary structure includes four short double-helical elements and three loops (D, anti-codon, and T loops). Lineage: Bacteria; Candidatus Saccharimonadota. The record is from RNAcentral.
GCGGGAUUAGUACAGCGGCUAGUAUGCCUGCCUUCCAAGCAGGAGACACCGGUUCGAUUCCGGUAUCCCGCACCA